Ictidomys tridecemlineatus (thirteen-lined ground squirrel) is the source of this 69-nucleotide non-coding RNA. NCBI's taxonomy places the organism in Eukaryota, Metazoa, Chordata, Mammalia, Rodentia, Sciuridae. The record is from Rfam.
GGAGCUGUGGCUCAGUGGUAGAGCACUUGCCUGGCAGGUGUGAGGUCCUGGGUUCGAUCCCCAGCACCA